CAGCCAAAAUGUUUCCUGUGUCCGACCACAGUAUACUCGAAUGUAUUGCAGACUUGCGUAAAAGCAGCUACGAUACCGCGUAAUGUAACGUACACUCAAGCUGCCUGUCUGGAGCAAAACUGUGCGAUCGGCAGGGGCAAAAGAAGCGUUGCUGUUGGAUCGGAGAAUUCCUUGGAGUGGGAUCCAUCGAAACAAAACUCUUUUGGUGGAGUUGAGCUUGAUCAGUUAGCUCCCUUGGAAAAAGCGUCAUUGAGUUACGACGCCAGCCACAGCGGUAACAAUCAGGCUUUCGAGAUUGUUGGCGAAGAAGAAGCAUAUGCCUCAGAUGAUGAAGGAGAAGGAGAUUAUGAAGAUAUGACGGAUUAAAAUUAAGAUUGCAAACGAUAUUAGUAAACAAUAUUGUAUACUCAUUUUGUUAGACCUUUUGAAAUAAAUAAAGAUUCUAUAUAUAGUUUUCAAAAAUAUAAAAA
Stegodyphus dumicola is the source of this 470-nucleotide long non-coding RNA. The record is from RefSeq and is a predicted model, not a curated record. Lineage: Eukaryota; Metazoa; Arthropoda; Arachnida; Araneae; Eresidae.